RNAcentral lists this ribosomal RNA (498 nucleotides) under uncultured bacterium. Its description in RNAcentral is "bacterial SSU rRNA". It matches the Rfam family "Bacterial small subunit ribosomal RNA", at positions 28 to 526 of the family's 1533-position model. The record is from RNAcentral.
GAUGAACGCUGGCGGCGUGCCUAACACAUGCAAGUCGAGCGAGAACCGCUGGAAUGACACUUCGGUAGAAUGAAAGCGGGGAAAGCGGCGGACGGGUGAGUAACGCGUAGGUAACCUGCCCCAUACACAGGGAUAGCCUAGGGAAACCUGGAUUAAUACCUGAUGAAGCAACUGGUCGCAUGACCGGCUGCCAAAGAUUUAUCGGUAUGGGAUGGACCUGCGUCUGAUUAGUGAGUUGGUGGGGUAAUGGCCUACCAAAGCGACGAUCAGUAGCCGACCUGAGAGGGUGAUCGGCCACAUUGGAACUGAGACACGGUCCAAACUCCUGCGGGAGGCAGCAGUGGGGGAUAUUGCACAAUGGGCGGAAGCCUGAUGCAGCAACGCCGCGUGAGCGAAGAAGGUCUUCGGAUCGUAAAGCUCUGUCCUGGGGGAAGAAACAAAUGACGGUACCCCGGGAGGAAGCCCCGGCUAACUACGUGCCAGCAGCCGCGGUAAACU